UACGAAGGGGGCUAGCGUUGCUCGGAUUGACUGGGCGUAAAGGGCGCGUAGGCGGUUUGUACAGUCAGACGUGAAAUUCCCGGGCUCAACCUGGGGGCUGCGUUUGAUACGUGCAGACUUGAGUUCGGAAGAGGGUCGUGGAAUUCCCAGUGUAGAGGUGAAAUUCAUAGAUAUUGGGAAGAACACCGGUGGCGAAGGCGGCGACCUGGUCCGAUACUGACGCUGAGGCGCGAAAGCGUGGGGAGCAAACAGG
RNAcentral lists this ribosomal RNA (253 nucleotides) under uncultured bacterium. RNAcentral describes it as "partial 16S ribosomal RNA". It matches the Rfam family "Bacterial small subunit ribosomal RNA", at positions 524 to 776 of the family's 1533-position model. The record is from RNAcentral.